This is a long non-coding RNA of Dama dama (fallow deer), 1019 nucleotides long. RefSeq lists it as uncharacterized. The transcript has 3 exons. NCBI's taxonomy places the organism in Eukaryota, Metazoa, Chordata, Mammalia, Artiodactyla, Cervidae. The record is from RefSeq and is a predicted model, not a curated record.
GUUGUACCGAAGGCAUUCGGGAAUUCUGAAAAGGAGAGAGAGAGAUGGUGAGAUUUUUCUGGCUGAAGAUACUGAUCUUCGUCACUCAGAGAUGGGAGAAUUUCUGGGUGUUAACAAGAUCCCAGGCUUCCCUGGUGACUCAGACGGUAAAGCAUCCGCCUGCAAUGCGGGAGACCCAGGUAGCAUCGCUGAAACAACGGCUGUGAAUUUGAGCAAACUCUGGGAAAUAAUGAAGGACAGGAAAGCCUUGCAGGCUGCAAUCCAUGGGGUCCCAGAGACUUGGACUUAGAGACUGAACAGCAACAACUGGAAUUGAUAGAGAGAGUUACAAAUUUGUGUCUGUUGAAUUUUCCCCUUCAUUUCUCCACAUAUCAUACUUUGACAUAGACACUUGCUGUUUAAUGAUGUGUGUUUAAUUGGUGCAUAUGGAUCAGAGGAAAGAAGUUUUUUUUCAGCAGAUACCCUCACUUCAUGCCGCCAACAUGAAACUACUUCAACACAGCUCCCCCCACCUAAAAGUAUAUAGGUCUGGCUUGGCAUUUACACACCAUCGGUUGCUCUUUGCUGGGAACCUUUGCAUCGGUCCACAGGCCAACUUGACAUUGAAAUUAUUAUGGUUACUCACACUCAGGUGCAACCAUAUAGCACAACUCUCAGUAAAACUGACAUUGUAUAUAAAGAGCAAAUUACACUAGAUGUUCGUCUCAUAUAUUUAAAUGCAUGUUAUGGAUUCUAUUAAUUAUCUUCAUUGACAAUUCUAGCUUCUACAAUAAUUUUUCUCAACUUCCAAGCUGUCCUACUUCUUGAAACGAAAAACAACAUUUUAUGCUUUCUCUUGAGAAUUACUUAUCACAAGAUUAAAUCUACAUAGAGCAAUUUAAAUUCAUCUGAAAUUUUUUCUCUUCUUUGAUUUGUUUGUUAAAUCAUGUUUGUUAAAUCAUCAUUUGCUAUUUCUAAUUUGUAGCACUAAUUGCAUCUACUUUGAAUUCCGCAUGAAAUCAUCUUCAUAAAACAGUGUA